RNAcentral lists this long non-coding RNA (42239 nucleotides) under Lotus japonicus. Its description in RNAcentral is "long non-coding RNA (LJAP_LNC001783)". Lineage: Eukaryota; Viridiplantae; Streptophyta; Magnoliopsida; Fabales; Fabaceae. The record is from RNAcentral.
AAGAGGCAGAAGAAGAGAAACAAUCUAUCUUCUUCCAAAUAAAAAAUAAAGGAAGGAGAUAGGAAAGGGUUGAAAAGGAUAAAAAAAAAAUUACAUUAGAUACAUUGUUGGCUGAAGGAAAAAAAUUCAAAAAAAUGGCUCGUGGAGCGAUUAUUGCAUCCAUGCUCUGCCUUCUGGCUGUAGCAGUGGUGGCUGAAGACCCUUAUAUCUAUUACACAUGGAAUGUGACCUACGGUACCAUUUCACCUCUUGGAAUCCCCCAACAGGGUAUCCUCAUCAAUGGUUUGUUCCCAGGACCUGAAAUCAACUCCACCAGCAACAACAACAUUGUCAUCAACGUGUUCAACAACCUUGACGAGCCAUUGUUGUUCACAUGGAGCGGUAUCCAGCAGAGGAAAAACUCAUGGCAAGAUGGUACAUUGGGAACUCAGUGCCCCAUCCAGCCAGGAACCAACUACACAUACAAGUUCCAGGUCAAGGACCAGAUCGGUAGCUACUUCUACUACCCCUACACCGGCCUCCAGAGAGCCGCCGGUGGAAUCGGUGGUUUGAGAAUCUACUCCAGGUUGUUGAUCCCUGUCCCAUAUGCUGACCCUGCUGAUGAAUACUGGGUCCUCAUGGGUGACUGGUACGCCAAGCCCCACACCACCCUCCAGAAGUUUUUGGACAGUGGUCGUAGCCUUGGAAGGCCAGAUGGCGUCCACAUCAUGGGUAAAAAUGGUAGCCCAGUCCCACUCUACACCAUGGAGCCUGGAAAGACCUACAAGUACAGGCUCUGCAAUGUGGGUAUGAAGGACUCCCUUAACUUCAGAAUCCAAGGCCACCCAUUGAAGCUUGUUGAGAUGGAAGGCUCCCAUGUGGUGCAAAACGUCUACGACUCCCUCGACAUCCAUGUUGGUCAGUGCUACUCUGUCCUCGUGACUGCCGACCAGGAACCAAAACAAUACAAGAUGGUCGCCUCCACACGCUUCACCAAGAAGGUGUUGUCCGCCACCGCUCUCAUCACCUACUCUAACGGUAACGGUCCCGCCUCCCCUGAGCUCCCACCUGCACCUGAAGGCUGGGCCUGGUCCCUCAACCAGUUCCGUUCCUUCCGUUGGAACUUAACCGCUAGUGCUGCCAGGCCUAACCCUCAAGGCUCUUACCACUACGGCCAGAUCAACAUCACCCGAACCAUCAAGCUCGUGAACACCGUCUCUAGGGCUAACGGAAAACUCCGAUACGGAAUCAACGGUGUGUCCCACGUUGACAACGAAACCCCACUCAAGCUCGCCGAGUACUUCGGUGUUGCUGACAAGGUUUUCAAGUACAACAUCAUCUCCGAUGAGCCCCCGGCAACCAUCGGUGACCUCACCUUGGCUCCCAAUGUCAUUAACGCCACUUUCCGUACCUUCAUCGAGAUCAUCUUCGAGAACCCCACAAAGGUUGUUCAGUCAUACAACUUGGAUGGUUACUCCUUCUUCCUUGCCGCAGUUGAGCCAGGGAAAUGGACACCCGAGAAGAGGAAGAACUACAACCUUUUAGAUACAGUGAGCAGGCACACCGUUCAGAUAUACCCCAAGUCAUGGGCAGCAAUCAUGCUUACAUUCGACAACGCUGGCAUGUGGAACUUGAGGUCAGAGCACACCGAGAACCGCUACCUUGGUCAACAAUUGUACAUCAGUGUCUUGUCUCCUGAACGCUCUCUCAGGGAUGAGUACAACAUUCCAGAAACCCAGCUCCUUUGCGGCAUCGUCAAGGAUAUGCCCAAGCCCGCACCCUACUCUUAAGCAUUUAUCAACCUGCAUUAAGACGAUGUAUUAGCUUUAUUUUGUAGCUGAUGUAUCCACCGACCCUUUCCUGAAUGCCACAAAUUUUCAGCUCCAUAUGUAUACACAUAUAUAAUAUGAAUGUCAAAUUCUCCUUCCAAUCCACUUCUAUGUGGGUUUUGUCAUGGAAUAUGUACACACAUCAGUUCUUUCAUUAAUUUCAAGUGACGGAAAUUAAACUUUACUCAAGCUAGAGCUACUACGACCUGAGCUCACACCAUAAGCAGAAGGAUAUAUAAUUGAACUAACCAAAAGAACUAAAUAUUAAGAAGAAAUUAUUAGUCUGUUUGUGCUGGUUUGGGUGGGUUGUGCCCAGAGGCGGACCCAGAAAUUUUGUGACACCUGGGCAAAAUUUUCACAUCGUCUUGAAUAUUUGGAGGAUACUCAUUAAUUUGUUUCCUACGCCCUGGAUCACGCACAAUCUCAUUCGGAUGAAACUCAUUGACCACAUUAGGCGAUGGUUCUACUUCGGCUUCCGGUUGUACAACAUUCACAUUCUCAAUACUUGCUCUAGGAACCAAGAACUUCCUCAUCUCUAAAAUUUAAUGAUCUAAAGAAACAACAAAGAAAAGCACAAUUAGAAAUUAUGAUCAAAUUAAAAAAGCACUAAAAACAACACUAAUAAAUAAAAAUGAAAAGGAGACAAUCUAUAUUCACAUGAUUAGUAUAUUGGAUGUACAAAAAAUGGAAGAGAAGAGAUCAUGGACCACAAGCAAUUACCAAAUUUUGGACCACAAGCAAUUACUAAAUUGAAUUGAAUACAUUACACAUUAUACAAUAUACAUGGCAAAUGGCAAUUGUUGGCAAGUGGCAAACCGCAUCUCAUGACUCAUGUAAUCUGUCUCUCACACUUUUCUAACUUAUCCUUCACACACUCACAUAGUCACACAUGACACAUACAAUUAAUAUUUGAUUCAAGAAUACCAAACCCAACUCACUCACGCAUCUCUCACUCUCUGUCUCACUUUUCCCUUUUUUUUUUACCUUUUCUGCCUUAACCUUUCUCUCAGUCUCUCACUCAGUCUCUCUCACCGCUCACCUCCUCUCCUCUGUUCCUCUCGACAACGCCCACGCCACGCCUCACCCACACGACACGCAGGCCGCAACCGCGCCCUCACCCACACCGGCACACGCAGGCCGCAGCCACGCCCACGCCCUCACCACCCACCGCCUCAGGCGGCCCUCACCCACGCCCUCACACCACAGCCCACAGGUCUCACUCACGGCACACCCCCUCACAGAGUCACAAUAGGAUAUUGAGAUUUACAGAGCAAAUAAGUUUGAAGCUAGGAUGGAGAAAUCAGAGAGAAAGAGACCUGAUUCCUGAAGAUUGAAGCUUGAAGAGUAAGAGUACUCAGAGAGAAAUGAAGAUUGCUGAAGAUUGAAGGGAAGCCUGAAGAUUGAAGCCUGAAGAUUGAAGUCAAUUGAAGUCUGAGAAGGAAAUUGAAGCGUGAUUUGAAGCCUGAAGGGAGAAAGUGAGUAGGAAAUUGAGAAUAGGGUUUCUAUUUUAUUAUUUUCCCCUUUCUUUUCCCCUUUAUAAAAUAGUCCUCAAUUUUACCCCAACCUUUAAAUUUUGCCCUUUUUUAUUUUUUUUUUGAGGCCCAAAAGAUGAUGUGGUCCAAAGAAAAAAAUUUUUUUUUGGUCAGAGCUUGGGCAUUUGCCCUAGGUAGCCAGGCGCUCAAUCCGCCUCUGGUUGUGCCUAUAUACUAGCUAAUAUCGGCAUUUGUUUCGUUUUUUAUUUGUAUUUUCCCUUUGCUAAAUUUUGUACUUUGUUCGUGGGUUUGAAGUACCCUUUUACUUCCUUUAAUAAAAUGUUUCUAUAAAAAAAAAAAAGAAUAAUAGAGCGAUCAAAUGGAAAUGUAUAUGCUUAAUACGGAUUCAAAAUUCUAAACAUUCGUUCGUGGUGUAUAAAAUGCACUGUUUAUAAGUUAUUUUACAAUGAUGAGCCAUUAAAUUGUUUUCUAAUUUUUUCCCGAGUAAUGAUAUAUACACACCUCCUUAUUUAUACACUUCAUUUCCACCUAUUUUUAUUUCUAUCUCUCUCCUCUUAUCAUCUAUCAUAUCUUAUACUUUCUCUUUCUUACUUUUUAUUUUCUUCCUAUCUCUCUCCUCCUCCACCUCUUUCCACCUCAAUUUAGAGGUGUGGACAAAUAAUUAUUGAUUUUUUCCCUAUUGUGUUGUUUGGAUAUAUACAAUUGCAUACGUGUCAUGUGUACUUGUCAUUUUAUAGAUUUAAAUAUGUUUUUAUCAUGACUUAUAUACACUUAUAAUAUAAUACUAGUGUUUUUUUCCCGUGCGUUGCACGGAAAAUAUAUCUAUUGUUUUUUAUACAUCAAUUAAUCAUGAAUGUGAUUAUGCGAGUUCAUUUUCAGUUUUUUUUAAUUCUAAGUUAUUUAUGUUUUAAUUUUUUUAAAGUUGUUCUCAAUAUGUGUUCAGGGAACACGUGUCUACAAUAUCUUAGAUAAUUAGGGACAACCCUUUAAAAUUUAAUGGAUUAUAAUCUCAGCACUACAUAUUUUAUUUUCAAUCAUAUUGUAGAUCAUGAGAAAGAAUAAAAGGAGAAAUCAAAGGAUUCCUGUAAAUAUGCAGUAAAUUAGACUUGAGACUUUUCCAAAUUUAAAGAGAUAAUGAAAAUGGUUUCAAGAUUUGUUUUGGAAAUAAAUUUAGUAAGGAGUAAUCUAGGUUAUUCUUAGAUAAUUAGGGCAAAUCUUUAAAAAUUCGGUUUUAAGAUAAAAUAACACAACAGAAGAGAAACUAUCUAAUGGAAUGACACGUGAAUAUUUUUUUUAUGGGAAUUAACCUGAGAAUGACAAGUGAAUUUUUUUUUAUGAGAAUUAACAUGAGAAUGACAUGUCACUAAAUCAGCCUGAUAUAAGUUAUUCUUUUCUAUUGUAUAUAUAUUGGUUGAUGGUAUUCGAAAGAAAAAUCCUCUUUUUUCCCCUAAAUAAUUUUGUUUUAUUUAAAAUGGUUCCUCUAAUGUCAUAAUGCGAACAAAGGUUAUAGGAAAUUAAAGUUUGUGUGGGGAUAGACUGUAAGGAGCUUGUUUCUCUUGCGAUUGAUACUAACAGAGACAGAAUCCGAGUCCAUCCUCAAGCCUCCAUUAUCCGUGAUAUUAAGAUUCUCCUGGAUUUGGAUUGGCGGGUUGAGCUUUCCUGGAUUCCCAAUGAAGCCAAUGUUGCGGCUGAUUGCUUGACCUAACAGGGCGCUCAUUCAUCCCUUCCUGGGUUGCAUAUGGUGACUAAUGUUGCUCCUGAGUUAGACUGGUUGAUCCUUAAGGAUGCCUUAGUUGUUCCUUAGUUUGUUGUUGCUCUGUUGUCAUUUUUCCGAAGCACCAAAAAAAUAAUAAUGCUUAUUUGUCAUUUUUUAGUUGGGAUAAAUAUGUAUUUGGUUCUUAAACUAUAGCGAAUUAUUAUUAUUAGUCCCUGAAUUAAUUUUUCAUUGAAAUCCAUCCCUUAACUUGUUGGCGUGUGAGGUUUUGGUCCCUCGAGUCAUUUGAAUGAUUACGUAGCAUAGUGACGUGUAUGUAUUUUAUGAUGUGUUAUUUUUAGUCUAAAAUUUCAGUUCAAAUAUUUUGUGUGCUUUCUCCUUUGUGACAAUUUUAAGCACUUAAAAAUCAAGUCUUUAACCAUAAAAUUUUCCAUCUAUUUUCUCAACUUCUCUCCAAAUUUUCUUUUUAAGACUUUAUCACUAAUUGCAUAUUCAAUUAAACAUCAUUUUUAAGACAAGUUUUAGAAUAAAAAUAUUCUCCUUUUCCAUGCAUAGUCUCGCUCAUACAUUCCUAACUAUCAUGAUUGAUUAUCUUUAAAAUCAACUAACAGAAGGUAAAUCUAUGAUGAAAAAUAAUUCAAAGUUUAAAAACAAGACUUUAAUCAUUAAGAAAUUUCACAAGACUUAAACUUUAAGGAAUCAAAUUAGAGGUCUAGUAUGCUUUUGCAAAAUCGAAUAAGAAACCUCACUCUAUAUUGGAAUAGGCUUUUGCAAAAUCCAGUUUAACAAAAUGCCACCUUCAUCCAUUUUCUUCAACAAAUCAACUAUUUCAUUUGCUUUAUACAAUGCAAUUAGCUAUUUGCCUCUUUCUUUUUAUCUUGUUAUUGCUUCUUUUUGUUUCUUUAUGCUUUUGUGAGAUACUAUAUUCUUGACUCAUAGUUUUUUUUUUUUUUUUUGAAAUAAGAAUGAACUUUCAAUAAUACGGGAAAUCAGAACAAGCUACAUCCAUGAUGUUUGGAGGGACAUACCCCAUCGAAAUUGAAUCAGAAGAAGAACAAGCUAUAUUAGCAAGAAAAUGAGCAAGGUUAUUCUGUGUUCUAAAAACAUGAGAAACAGAAAAAAAACUCAAAACCAGAAACUAAGCUACAGCAAUCAUCAAUGAUAAGUUGGAGAUCUGGGGAAAGCUGUCCAGCCCGAAAACCACGCGCAACAACAAGGGAAUCUGUCUCAGCCAGAACUCUGGUAAAACCAUGAUGCACCAUGAGUGUGAAUGCCCACCUCAAAGCCAAGGCUUCAGCCAUAGAAAUACUUACCUCAACCUUACAUCUACUGCAAGCAGCCAUAACCACCAAACCAGUAUGAUCCCUAAGGACACACCCCAUACCGAGCCACCCUUCCUUGAUGCUGGCAUCAACAUUUAAUUUGAGUUUCCCUACAUCUGGAGGCUGCCAUCUUCUCAACUCUUUGGGUUUCUUCUGCCUUAUGUGCCCCUCAUUCCUUGAAAUGAACUCUCUAUCAAAAAGAGAAGCAACCUGAAAAGCUCUUACAGGAUCAGCAACCUUUCCUGAAAAACAUAAGUCAUUCCGAGCCUUCCAAAUGGACCAUAACACAUGACAAAUCAAGGACAAGUGGUCACAAUCAUUCAACCCCAACAGAUUUUGAAACCAAGAAACCACCUCAGCCGAAUUGAGAACACAGUGGGAUAAACCCGACCCAAACCAUACAGCCCUGGAAAAUUCACACUCAAGAAACAAAUGAUGCAAUGACUCAGAAGCACCACAACAAAGGGGACAAACAAUAUCCAGAGCAAUACCUUUUUUCACAAGAUUUUCCCUAGUAGGCAAAAUCCUAUUCAUCAAUUUCCAGAGAAAAAUUCUGAUUUUAUGAGGAACAUCAACCUUCCACAAAUCAUUCCAAGUUGAACAAGGAAGAAAAGAACUAGAAGCACCAGGGCCAGAACUUGAACAUGAACUGAGCAUUUGAUAGGCAGAUUUAACAGUGUAAUUCCCAUCAUUGGACCAAUGCCAAGCAAACUUGUCUUCAGGGAGCCUAAUCGAAAGAGGAAUUGAUAGAAUCUUAUCAGCCUCAAAACCCAUAAAGGAGGACUUAAUUAAGUCCUCAUUCCACCUUUUCUGCUCAAAAUCGAUAAGCAUACUGACCUUAGCAUCCUUAGGCAGAUCAAUUGCAGGACUCCAGACCUUAAACCCUGACUGAUUAGGCAACCAACCAUCCUGGAAAACUCUGACAGAUUUACCAUUCCCAAUAGUCCACCUAGAGCCUUUAGAAAUCACAUGCCUCGCAGCUAGAAUACUCCUCCAAGAAAAACUAGGAAGAUACCCCAACUUAGCAUCCAUAAAAGAAGUCCUUGGGUGGUAUCUACUCUUAAAAAUCUGAGCAACCAAAGAAUCAGCCCUGUUAAUCAGCCUCCAACAUUGCUUACCGAGUAUUGCAUCAUUAAAUUUUCUAAGGCACCUAAACCCCAAACCUCCAACAGCCUUUGAUCUCUUAAGCCUUUCCCAACUCAUCCAAUGAAUUCCUUUAUCCUUAGAAUUAUUUCCCCACCAAAACCUAGCCAUCAUACUCUCCAUAGCUGAAACACACCCUUCAGGAAGCUUAAAACAGCUCAUCACAUAGGUGGGAAUCGCUUGCGCAACAGACUUCAAUAAAACCUCCUUGCCCGCACUUGAUAAAUGCCUCUCCUUCCACCCCUUUAACCUCUUCCAUAUCCUAUCCUAGACUAGAGAGAACACCACUUUCUUUGAUCUCCCAAAAACAGUGGGAAGACCAAGAUAUCUAGAAUGAGAUUGAACAGUCUUGACACCCAUCCUUUGCUGGAUUGCAUUUCUAACAUCUACCGGCACAUUAUGACUGAAAGAAAUCUCAGAUUUAUCUAGAUUCACCAACUGUCCCGAUGCUCUCUGAUAAUCAUCAAGGAUGCUCAAAACAGAAUCAGCCUCUUUGAGAGAAGCACGAGCAAAAAGCAGACUGUCAUCAGCAAAUAGGAGGUGUGAAAUCACCGGGGCACCUCUUGCAAUCCUCAAUCCAUGAAUCUGCUGGUCUCUCAUCCUGGAAUUGAUUAAACAAGACAAGGCAUUAUCACAUUGGAUAAAGAGAUAGGGGAAAUCGGAUCCCCUUGUCUCAACCCUCUAGAGGGAACAAUUUUGCUGCUUGGAAAACCAUUGAACAGAAUUUGAUAAGACACCGAGGAUACACAAUCUAUGACCAGCUUAGUAAACCUGCUAGGGAACCCCAUAUGGACCAAAACACCCUUGAGAAAGCUCCACUCCAUCCUAUCAUAUGCCUUUGCCAUGUCGAGCUUCAAAGCCAUCAUUCCUUUUUUCCCUUUUUUCUUCUUCUUCUGUAAGAUCAAGUUUUGAUCUAGUAGUACAACUCUAUGUUUUGAUGAUUACAAGUUAACCUUUUGAUAUGAAUAAUUAUGGUACUCUAACGUGUUUUUCUGAGUGUGCUAUUUACAGGCUCUGACCUUGAUUCAGUCUCACAUAAAUCAGAAGCACUGUGCAUAAAGAGUGACCCAAGCAACGCUUUCGCAACAUCUAUGUUCACUCUGAACAGUAGAAAUGCUUCAGAAGAUCUGAAGUUAUACAAACUCUGAUAUGGACUCAGCCACCAGAAGUUCUGAAGAUCCAGAAGUUCUGACAACCAAGAAACUCUGAAGGUUCAGAUGUUCUGAUGGUGUAGAAGACUCUGAAGAUUCAGAAGCUGAACAGUGGAAACUCUGAUGUCCAGAAGCAAGAAACUCUAAAGACCAUGUACUUCCCUCUGAGUCCAGAAUCAGAAGAUACAACGGUCAGAGGAUCUGUGCUUUCCCUCUGACUCUGAUCAACCGGCUUCACAAGUUCCAACAUGAAGCAUUCCCCUGAUCAGAAGUCUCCUAGGUUUAAAGGUCAAGUCGCUAUCCAAGUACAAAAGCAAAUUGUACUAUCCUGACGACCUACCUAACAUCCUCAGCCACAGCAGAAGCUGGAAUUUCCAGAACUUCCCUCCAACGGUAGCAUUUCCAUGCAACGUUCAACCCUAAUCCUUGGAGUAUAAAUAGAGGCUGAAGAUUGAAAGAAGCGGCUAGAAGCAUUCAUACACGCGCAAGAAAUAUUCAAAUCCUUCUAAGCUUUCUUUCAUCUUGAAUUUCAUUGUGUUUACUAUAAGCUUUUUAGAAGCACCUUCUUUGUAGACAAGAACUUCAUAUACAGUUGUAUAGUUUGCCUUUAGGAGAUCAAGGUUGAUCGGAUCCUUGAGAAGACUAAGAGAGUGAAUCUUAGUGUGAGCUAAGUCAGUGUAUUGUUAGUCACUUGUAGGUUUCAAGUGCAGUUGUAACACAUACCUGAUUAGUGGAUUGCCUUCAUUCUAAGAAGGAAGAAAUCACCUUAACGGGUGGACUGGAUUAGCUUGAGUGAUUUAUCAAGUGAACCAGGAUAAAAUCCUUGUGUGCUUUUCUAUCUCUUAUCUUUAGCACAUAGUUUGUUUCGAAAGAUUUGCCAAAAUCUUUAAGGUGGAAGUUUUAUCUUGAAAACGUUAUUCAAACCCCCCCCCCCUUCUACCGUUUUUCAUACCUUCAUCUUCAACCAAUGGAAACACUCAAGGGUAAUCAAAGCAUUAUCGGUAAUGAGCCUACCCGGAAUAAAUGCACUUUGAGCUGGAUCAAUAAUCUUCGGCAACACCCCUUUGAUCCUAUUAGCCAUUGCUUUAGUGACUAUCUUCAUAACAACGUUGCACAAACUAAUGGGCCUAAACUCCUUCGGGAUGGAUGGCUUCUUACACUUAGGAAUAAGGGUAAUGAAAGUGGAAUUAAUACUUUCCGGACUCAAACCCUCAUUCAGAACAGCCAACACAUGCUUAACAACCGACGCACCAACAAUGUGCCAAUACUCUUGGAAGAACUUUGCUGGGAGACCAUCAGGCCCAGGGGCCUUGAGAGGAUGCAUUUGGAAUAUGGCCUUAACAACUUCAUCCUCCUGAAAAUCACUAUCAAUCAAAUCCACAUCCUGCUGCUCCAACUUGGUGUCAAUGGCCCUGCAAAUGUCAGGGGGUUCCUCCACCAUUUGGGAAGUGAAAAUAGAUGAGAAAUAACUGUUCAGAAUAGCAGAAACGUUCUCAGGCUUGUUGUACCACACACCAUCCUCUCCUUUCAGCUUUUUAAUGCUAUUCACCGCCUGCCUUUGAUUUGCUUUAGCAUGAAAAAACCCAGUAUUCCUGUCCCCAUCUUUUAACCACAUAGCUCUGCUCCGUUGCCUCCACAUAGUCUCUUCAAGCUGCAAAAGCAGCGAGUGUUCUUCUACCAUCUCCUUAAAUUUCGCCAGAUUUUCAGGUUUAUCAUCCCAAGAAGCAUCCUUCUGCAACUCACCCUCUAGAAAAAUGAUUCUCUUUCUGAAAUUUCCCACAGUGUAACCUCGAAAGGUAUUCUUAAGACCUUGAAUACUACCAAGCUUCUUAACAAAAUCAUCUCUUUGCCCAAUCCAAGCAUGGAAGAUCUCCUCCUCGCACCUUGGAUCCAAACACCACACCUCUUCAAACCUAAAAGGACGUUGUUGUCUUCUCAUAGGGACAUCCAUAAACUUCUCAAUGGAGACAGAAAUAACUGCAUGAUCUGAACCAUAUCUUCCCAAGUGCUGCACAGAACUAGCAGGAAAAAUCUGAGAAAAUACCUCAGUACAUAAAGCUCUGUCCAGCCUAGCCUGAAUAUUUGCAUCACCUGAUAUGCCAUUAGUCCACGUGAGAGGAUAGCCACUAAAGCCCAAAUCAACUAGCCCAAGAUCAUCCAUAACAUCCCUUCCCCUCUGCAACUGAGAAUCAGACCGCGAAAUACCACCUUUCUUCUCAUUGUUCGAGAUAACAUCAUUCAAGUCCCCAACCCCAAGCCACCUCAACCCCCCCCCCUCCUGAACUAGAGACCUGAUUAGAGACCAAGUCCUCUCCCUCAGCCUCGUACACGGGUAGCCAUAAAUCCCAGAAAAACACCAAGGGUCUUCAUCCUCAACUACAGAAACAGAGAUAUGAUUGUUUGAAAAAGAAAUGAGAGAAACAUUCAAAGAUUCAGACCACCACAAAGCUAGCCCCCAUUUUCUCCCCUUGCCAUUAUCAACACAAUCCACAACCAAAAAAUUCUUAAGACCAAAGUCCAACCUUAUUUUUUCAAUUUCAAACUUUUUCAACCUGGUUUCCAUCAAGAAAACCAAUUGAGGAAUCUCUUUUCUUACGAGCCUUUGCAAGGCCCUAACUUCCUGGGGACUCCCCAAACCCCGGCGGUUCCAGCUAAGGAGUUUCAUGGCUGUAGGCAAUGUUGGUCUCCCAACAUCGCCUCUAAAUGAGCAUCAGCCAUAUCCACAUCCAUCAUCAAUUUCUUGCUUAAGUGACCCCGAAAAGUCUCAUCAUCCACUUCCACAAUAUCCACAUCAAUCAGGCUUCUCUUCUUAUCUAAACAAGAGAGGACUUUGCAAUUGUCACAGCAGCCCUACUAGCAUCAAGUCUCUUCCAACCUCUCUCGGUAGUCACCUUCUUUUCACUAGAGCUCCCAACACAAAAAGAUAGCUCAGCCACAGGAGCACAAUUUUCCUUAACCUCAGAAUCUGAGCCCUGCUUUAGAACAACAUUACCAAGUGCCUCAAGCACAUCAUCCACUUGUUGGACCACCAUACCACACUCAACAGCAGAAUUUUCAGGGGAAACAUUUGUGAUAUCAGAUAGAACAUGACUAGACAUCCCACCCACAAGAAACUCCUUAGCAGGCCCAACAGAAACAACACUUGGGGCCUUAGCAUCAGCAGCAAGUUCACCUAUACUUCUUUCAGAAACAGGAACCACAGUAGAGUUCUCAAGAUCAGCAAAAGGAACUCUAUCAGCAGACACACCAGAAUUCUUAGUAUCUGAAGACACCUUAUCAACCAACAAGCACAAAUCAUUUUUCCUUUGAACAUCCUUAUGCCUGGUUACCACCUUGGAACCACCACAGCCAAACCUAACCACACCAACAUCAUCAGAACGACCCACGGAUCCCUCACCAGCCCUCCCCACACCAUCAAUAGCAGAACGAAAUAGGGACUCACAACCUUUAGACUUCAUAGGAUGAGCAACAUCCUCACCAAAAGGGGAAGCCCUCAACCAUGGCCCAAAAGGAAAGUCCACAGCAUCAUGAUCCUCCUCAACAUCCUCAAAUUCAUUACAAUCCUUGAUCUGAUGGCCUAUUCUUCCGCAAGCAAAGCAAAAAUUAGGAAGCCUCUCAUAUCUGAAAUAAACCUUAAGCUCCUUCCCUUGCCAAAACAACAUCGUACCCCUGAGAAGAGGCUUGGUAAGAUCAAUGGUAACCUUAAUCCUGAAGAAGAGGCCCAAACGGUUCUCAAGCUUACAAUCAACCUCCACAAAGCUACCAAUUGAAUCCCCCAACCUCCUGGCAACUGCUUCAGACUUCAAUUUCAGAGGGAGAUCAUAAACCCUCACCCACAUAUCCACAGAGGAGAGCUCAAUUUUAGAUGGCUGAUCUUCAUCACUGAAUUUCUUAAGCACCAAUAUACUACGAUCGAAACUCCAUGGACCCCCUUGGAUCACAGAUAUGAGAUCCUUUGAUGUAGCAAAUUGAAACAAGUACCGAUUCUUGGAGAUCUCAUUGAUUUCGACUGGAUGUCGCCACGCCGCCUUCAUAGUGUUCAUGAACGCCCUAACAUUGUGCGAACCUUCAGACCACAACUUCCCAGCCAGCAACCGAGAGGUAAGAUCAUCAUCUCUACACUCAUCCUCAUCGAUUGUAACACUGCUCUGGAUCUCAGAAGCAUUGAGAUCGAAAUUCCGAUGCAUCGUAGAACACAGGGAAACAAGGAGAAAACUACGAAGAGAGAAAAAACAGGAAAGAGACAGAGAAUCAAGGAGCGAACCAGAGAAUCAGAGAGCAAGAUGAAGAAGAAGAGCCUAGGGAGACCUAGGAGAAGACCACCAAGUCGGUGGAGAUCUUGACUCAUAGUUUGGUCUAGCCCUUACUGUAAUAUAAUUCUCUUUUAAUAUAGAGUUUGGGCUAGCUCUUUUAAUAUAAUUCUCUUUUUGGUUUUCCGAAAAAAAAAAGUGAAGGUAAAUUGGCCUCCAGAACCUUUAAGAUAAGCUUCUAUUCACUCCCAAUCAAACUGAUGGGCCUGAAGUCAAGCAUAGAUUGUGGAUAUUACGUUUCAGGAUUGCAGAGAUGAAAGGAGCAUUUAAAACCCUUACAAUUUUCCAAGACUCAUGGAAUUCAUGGAAGAAUUUGACCUCAUUAUUGAGAUUGAGAUUGAAUUUGUCCGGGCCGAAGCUUGAUUUCCAUCACGAUUUUUAUCACUCCCCAAAGUUUCAAAUUCUGAAAAGUUUGCUUCUAAACGAGCCUUAUCCCUGUGACUUAUCUUUGAAAGUUUGAGCAUCUGAGCUUGCAAUUGGGUCGCACCUUAUUUUCCCUUGAAAAAAAGGUUCUAAAUGAUUGAAAAUGGCCACCUCUGUUCAAAAAAAAGAAAAUGGCCACCUUAAUCGAUGUUGGAUCCUCAAUGUAUACCUCACCUACGUUCAAUUUCACUAUUCUUUUCUUUGCUUUCCUUCCUUCAACUAGCGUAUCCUAGCUUUUUGCCUCCACUUUUCAAAUCGUCACAACUCAACGACAUAAUUUAUCUGUCGCAACAUUCGGAACAGACUAUUACAUUUUUAUUUACGUCGUAUCAAAUAUUAUUAUUUCUGUAACCAACGGCGUCGCAAAAUUCAGGACGAAGCAUGAUAGUUUUAAUUCCGUCAUAACAAAAAAACAUUAUUUCUGUCAUCCAAUCGGUCGUAAAAAAAAUUUCUUCAAAAAUAUAAGUAUAUUCCGUCCCAAAAAAUUGAUUUCUUCCAUCGCACAUUAAUUAUUAAUUAAAUGAAUACUAUAAUUCAAUAUAUUAUGUCCUUAUUUCUGUCCCAAAAGCGCGACGAAGAAACAUUCUGUUCUAAAAACUUUGCGACGCACAAAAUCGCGAUGAAAUGUUUCAGUCGCACAUCCGUCCCAAAAUCAUUUAAGAAUAGAAAUUUUAACAAUCGUGUGACGAGGGCGGCGAUGUUCAACUUGAUUCCAGAGGAUUGGGGUGGUCACGUCACGCCUUGGGUCUCAGAGAUCAAACAGUACUUCAAUCGCCUCAAGAGUCUCCACUUUCGCCGAAUGAUUGUCACCAACUCCAGCAAGGAAACUCAUCCUUUUGGUACGAGAACUGGUUGGAAACUGGGGUCCUUUGUUCAUAAGUGCCUUUUGUGCACAUAAGUGACACAGCGUUGGCAGUUCGCGAUGUGUGAAAGACAAUGGCUGGAAGUUUGACUGUUUGUACACGGUGCUUCCAUCAGAGCUGAAGAAUAGGGUUCAAUCAACUGUAGGGCCAACGGGCGUGGAGCAUGUAGAUGCUUGGCGUUGGAAUGAGGAGCCUGAUGGUCAUUACACGUCCAGAUCCGCCUAUGCUUGGCUCAACCAUCGGGACAAUGAGGAGGGUGAACACCAGGUUUGGAUGCAACUGUUGAAAUUGAGGAUUCCGGGAAAAUGCAAAUUUAUGAUUUGGCUUGCGCUGCACCAAUCUUUGCCUGUGAAUGUGCACUGGCAUGCUUGCUCUCUUGCCACCAGCGCUGCGUGUGGUAGAUGCUCUACCCCAACGGAGGACAUUCUUCACUGUCUUCGUGAUUGUCCACACUCGAUGGAAGUUUGGACCAGGUUAGGCUAUGGAACCUUUGUGGGCUUCUUCUCACAAGACUCUUGGUCAUGGAUCCUGGCUAUUUUACGACAAGAAGAUACAGGGCGAAUUUUGUAUAUUUGAUGGUGGAUAUGGCGUUGGAGGAACAAUAUGGUGCUAGGGACAGAGAGAUGGGAAAUUGAAUAGGUGAUUUGCAAUGUGUGGCAGGACUCGAAAGACUCUAUGCUUGACACUGUCGUGGUGCACCAGUUCAGCACAAACAAAUCUUCUUGGGAGGCUCCUGAAAUAGGUUAGGUGAAGGUAAACGUUGAUGGUAGCCACCAUCGAGCAUCCUCUGGAAUAGCCUGCGGUGGUUUGAUUCAGGAUCACCAUGGAAAAUGGCUUCAAGGUUUUUCUGGUUUUGAAGGCCAGGGGGACGUGUACAUGGCAGAGCUUCUCGGAGUUCUCAGAGGCCUUCAGCUAGCGUGGCAUCAUGGUUACAGGAAGGUAGUUUGUGAAUCAGAUUCUUUGAGUGUGGUGCAAACCUUGUCGACAGGCAAAUCAGUAAACCUCCAUUCUUGUGCGGUGCUCUUGACAGAAAUUCAUUGUAUGCUUCUGGAGGAUUGGGAGGUGAUUUUCAAGCAUGUCUUGCGGGAUAAAAACAACGAAGCUGACACUCUAGAAAAGCUUGGCUUAGAGAAGAAGUGGAGGCUCACAACCUGGAAUUCCCCUCCCACUGAGCAUGUUCAGUUGGGAGGUCUAGUCUAAUUGUUUUUUCUUUUGUCUUUAUUUUCAUAAUCUACAAAAAAAAAAAACAUCAUAAUGUGAAUAUUUCCGCUCCUAUGAAUAAUGGAGUAUUAAUGGCACAAGUAACUUACUCGAAUUUUUGUAAUUUAGUUACUCUAAUAUGAAUGAUACAAAUGGUGGAUUUAUUUAUUUCCACUCUUCCCGCUUACCUCUAUAUCACUUUUGGUUCUUGCUUAAUGUUUCCACCGUUUCUACGGUAAACCUUUUAUGGAUUUAACAUUUGCUUUAUUGGUUAAUUUGUCCUUUUAAUGCAUUGAACAUUGGCUUUAUGGUUUGUAUCUGAAAGACUGAAACACAUUGAAAACCAAAAGGUUCCUUCUUUUGAAAUGGUUGCAUCUUUUAUAAAAGGAUAUCCAUGUUGAGUCGGAGAAGAUUUUGGAUUUUUCCAAUUAAGCAAGAUUUCAACAUGUAUAAAUUCUGAGUGUACAAUAUCUUGUAUGUGGCUAUGUUAUUGGAGAACAAACCUAACAUUAGAUUGCACUGGAGGUUUACCAUACUUUUACUUUCAAAAUAGUGAUUCGUCCACGGCGCAACUUUCCUCUUAUCUUCCAACAGAUGACACAUGUAAGAAUUGAAAUAGAACGCAAUUGUUUUUUCAAUCAAUUUUUUUUAUUGUUAUAGUUUUAAUAGAGCACAUGAAUAAAUUUAAAAUUUGACGAUUUAAUAAUAUCUAAUUAAUAUAUGUAAAUUCUGUGGCAUAGGUUAAUUUACUAGUUUUUAAAUAUAAGAAAGUAAUACACAAUUACAAGUGGCAUAGAUUUAAGAAAGUUCCAAUACCAUUUGAGGAGUUAAAUAAUUACGUUGAUGAAAAAAACAUAUACAAACUUAUUGUAGAUGGAUGGUUAGGCACUUGAUAAUCUCCUCUGGUUAGUUUUGUUCAAAAUAUAAGCAUUCUAACAAUAGCCAACGGGAAUGAGUUUCACAAGGAAAACGGGAAGAUGUAAGAGGAAGUACGCAUUCCAAGGAGCACCAGGAAAGGGAAGUGAGAGAUGAUAGCGGAGAGUUUGAGUGGUCAAGAGAUAGCAAUCCAAAUAUAUAUAAUAUGGUAAGAGGAUACGGAUGGUGUAAUGCUCUCUUCACACUAUAAAAUAGCAAAACGUCAUUGCUAGAAACAAAAGUACAAAUUUAAGGAGAAAAAGAAGAAGAUUAAGGAAAUGGACAUGGUACAAUUUUUGCUUUUGCUAUGCCUCUUAGUGGGGAUAACCUCAACGGUGCAUGGUGAAGACCCUUACUUCUAUUUCACAUGGAAAGUCACAUAUGGCACACUUUCCCCGGCGGGUGUCCCUCAACAGGUUAUUCUUAUCAAUGGUGAAUUUCCUGGACCCAACAUCAACUCGACCAGUAAUAACAACCUUGUUGUAAACGUCUUCAACCAACUUGAUGAGCCUCUCCUUUUCACAUGGUCUAGUACUUUCUCUAUUUUAUUAUGAACAAUUAAGAUUAAGAGUACCAAAACGGAAAAAUAUCACAUAAGCAUAUGAAUAACUUUGCUUUGCAGGGCGGGAGUCCAACAAAGGAAAAACUCAUGGCAAGAUGGGGUACCUGGAACUAACUGUCCCAUUGCUCCAGGAACAAACUGGACCUACAAGUUCCAGGUGAAGGACCAAAUAGGAAGCUACUUCUACUACCCAAGCUUGGGCUUGCAUAGGGCAGCUGGUGGAUUCGGUGGCCUACGCAUAAACAGUAGGUUACUUAUCCCUGUCCCCUAUGCAGAUCCUGAAGACGAUUACACUGUCCUCGUUGGCGACUGGUACACCAAGAGCCACUCUGCUCUCAAGAAAUUACUUGACAGCGGUCGCGCUCUUGGCAGGCCCCAAGCUGUUCUCAUCAACGGCCAAAAUGCCAAAGGAGACGGAACCGACAAGCCACUAUUCACAAUGAAGCCAGGAAAAACCUACAAAUAUAGAAUCUGCAAUGUGGGUCUGAAAAACUCCAUCAACUUCAGGGUCCAGCAACACUCCAUGUUACUCGUUGAAUUGGAAGGUUCCCACACCGUGCAAAACAGUUACGACUCACUUGACGUCCACGUCGGGCAGUGCUUUGGUGUCCUCAUAACUGCUGAUAAGGAACCGAAGGACUACUACAUGGUUGCCUCGACCAGGUUCACGAAAACUGUUUUGACCGGCAAAGGGAUCAUCCGCUAUACCAAUGGAAAGGGACCAGCUUCACCUGAACUCCCUGAGGCCCCUGUGGGCUGGGCCUGGUCUCUGAACCAGUACCGUUCCUUCCGUUGGAACCUCACUGCCAGCGCUGCCAGGCCUAACCCCCAGGGCUCUUACCAUUACGGCCAGAUAAACAUCACCCGCACUGUUAAGCUAAUUAACUCUGUCAGCAGGGACAAUGGGAAGCUCCGUUACGCGCUUAACGGAGUCUCCCACGUUGACCCAGAAACACCCAUCAAGCUCGCUGAGUAUUAUGGGAUUGGUGAGAAAUUUUUCAAGUACGACACCAUUCCAGAUAGCCCGCAAGGCCUUUCAAAUGCUGUCACCUUGCAAACCAAUGUUCUUAACUUCACCCAUCGCACCUUCAUCGAGAUCAUCUUCGAGAACCACGAAAAAAGUGUCCAGUCGUAUAAUUUGGCCGGCUACUCAUUCUUCUAUGUCGCGUGAGUAUUCGUAUUCUAUUCAUUCAUAUAUUUAUAUAUUCUUAUCUUUCUAUUUAUUAUAUAUGUUCACUCAACAUGCAGGGUAGAGCCUGGGACUUGGACCCCAGAGAAAAGGAAAACCUAUAACCUUCUUGAUGCAGUGAGCAGACACACCGUUCAAGUGUUCCCGAAAUCUUGGGCUGCAAUAAUGUUGACGUUUGACAAUGUUGGAGUGUGGAACUUGAGGUCUGAGAUUGCAGAGAAUCGCUACUUGGGCCAACAACUGUAUAUUAGUGUGAUGACUCCUGAGCGUUCUCUAAGGGACGAGUACAAUAUCCCAGAAAAUGCAUUGAUUUGUGGCCAAAUCAAGGGUCUGCCUAAGCCAGCACCUUAUGCUUAAUCAAAACCCUUAUGUAAUAACUAGAUUUUUGUUAUGUUCUAUUUGUCUAGCUUUAGCCCCGUGGGACUCCUCAAAUGAGGAGUGGCAAACCUUUUAGUUCUGAGCUAGGUUAUUUAUACAGGGAAAUUAAAUUGGAGAAUAACACAGGGCAUUGAAGCAUUAGAGUUGUUGAUUAGUAUGGUUUGACACUAUCAGAAACGCCAUUGCAUUUUUGUACUUUCACAAUUCUUUAUUAGUAUUCUUAAAAUUUUAGCAAAUAAAAAUGCACUGCCUGCAUUUUCAAAAGUAUUACUUACUUAGUUCCCAAAUUUUUGCAUACAUGUCUGCAUUUUAUACUAGUGCCAGAGCCCAUGUGUUUCACAGUGAAAUUUCUUAAAAGAUUAACAAUAUAGUUAUAAAAUAUAAGAUAUUAUGGUAAGAUUUUGAACUGGUAACAUAGAUCAAAUAAUCAUCUGCAUUCUGUUUAAGAAACAUUUAAGCAAUCAUAUCUAAUUUUAAAAUAUAUAACAACCUGAUACAAACAAUGAAAUAUUUCCAUACAAUUAUAUAUAUAUAUAUAUAUAUAUAAACUACUUAAAAGUUUAUAAAUUAUGAAAAAGCACUUAAAAUAUAUUAAAAUUAAAAUUUCUAAUAGUUUUAAUAUGAAAGUAUUUUCAUGUAAAUUAAACAUGAAAAUACUUACAUAAAUACCUUCUAUUAAUUUAUGAUAAUAUUUGUUCGCUUUGAUGCAUAUUUAUUCAAAUAGUUAUUUUGAAUUUUUUUUAUUCAAAUAUAUUUUUAUAAUUAGGCACUUUCAUGUAAUAAAUAUAUAAUCAUAUAAGCAUGUAAAUAUGUAAGUACAAAUAAAAUUAUAUAUAGUUUCAAAUGUUCGGUUUGGAUUGCAUUAGAUUGGUUCGGUUUUAGAAAUCAAAUCUGAAAUCCGAUCUGAUCCAAUGAAAAUAUUCGGUUCGGUUUGAUUGAAUUUCAAAUUUUUUAGAUCGAUUUUUCAAUUUUGUUUGGAUUGGAUCAAUUAUGAACACCUCUACUCAUAGAAAUUGAAUUAAGAACACUAUUAUUACUCAAAACAUGAGAUUAAGAUAUUAGAAAUCUAACAUUUGAACUUUACAUGAUGAAUGUGUUGCUUUUGAGUUGUUUAUCAAUUGAUAUCGAAUAUAAAAUUGUUGGCAGAAAAUGCCAUGUGAAGAGGACUCGGAUUUGUAGAAGGAAAAAGAUAAAGAGCACGACUACAUGUGGCACGAGAGGCGACGAAGUGAUUUCCACCGUAUGAUUAACUGAUUCCCACUACACAUAGAUUUAAUUUUUUCAAUCGGUGAUUGUAAAAUUGAAAAAUGCACUGGUCGUGACACAGGUGUGCUAUUGGUUGUCGUGCCAAAUAGCUACGCUCUUUGUAGAAAGAUGUUUUCCUUCUGUUUGACUGGUUUCUAACUUCGUGUUAUUCACGUUGCGUGACGGAGCUAGCGGGAUCGGUGACUAUUCAUAAUGGAAAGAGAAGGAAAUUUCAAGUAUUAGGGGUAUUCAUGUCAAAAAAAAGAUUUAUAAACAACAAACUCCAAGUUAAUUUUUAUAAAAUUGACCAAAAAGUGCAACUCUAAUUUGACUCUUAUAAUAAGGAACAAAGGGUGUAUUUUUACUUUUAUGGUUUGUUAAAAUUAAAAUGAUAUAUCUGAAAUUUUGAGAUAGGAUAACUUGAUUAGAGAAUAAAAGAACAGUGUUUCAUGAGCACUUAAUCAGUCAUUAUCAAGAAAUUGUAUCACUCAAGGUUGACAAACAAGUCUGGGAGGCCAAGAAAAAACUACAAUUUUCAUUUCCAUUUAACUAGAUCAAUUAAAAGAAUCAACUAAAAUUAGAUUUCCUACAAAUCCUGACACUCCCUGCGGACGCUUGAUUUGCUGCUCUAUUACUUCCAAAAUUCUUUUUAUUUGACUCCCUGGCGAUUCUUGAACCAAACUACACCAUAUAAAGACAAUCAAUUAUUUAGUACAGAAAAAAAAAAGGUAAUCAAUUUACACAGAACAGUGAUAAUUAGACAAGCUAAAUAAACAUAAGCCCACUUUAUAAAAACAAAUUAUUGCCCAUUGCUUUCCUGUGCCGUUUUGCAUCCUCUUGGUACUAAUUCCUUAUAAAAAUGUAACUCGGUCUUCACUAUAUUCGUAAGUCCAAUAUUCUGUUCAAUAUCCAGCACUGUCGAAGUUCUAUUGACAUCCUAAAAAAUGUUAAUAAUACCCAUAUGAAAUUCAUGCAAUAUUAGCGUCAAUAUUAAUAAUGAUCGGGCUCUGAUAUCACUUGUUGGAGAAAUCAGAGGAGCAUUGGCCAAAGGAGCAAAACGCCAGGAGAAUUGGAAGGGUGACAAAGUAGAGGAAACCAAAAACUGGAGGUGAUACAGGUUUUCUGAAAGAAAAAGUCCACAGAUAAACAUAGUGAUGGGGAACGUUGUUGGAAUGAAGCAGACAGAUAAAGAGGCCAGAGCGCGGAACAAAACACGGUUUGCCAGAUGAAAUUCCACCAUUGGAGACUGGGUCCAGUGAAGAUGCACGAUAAUGGAGUCCCGUGCAAGCUCAAUUGCAUUUUAUGAACUUGGGGGUCUCAACUCUCAACUACACACUCGAGGGUUAUGUAAUAGAUAUCAAAAACCGGAAACCAAGGAUCAACUUACAAAAGAUUAUACUUAUCUUAUUUACAUUACUUUCAACACACCCCUUAGAAAGCAGAUACUAUUCCCGGAACUGCUUUGCAUAGCUUCAGAACCCCAUUUUUAAAUAUACAUGAAGAAAAUUUUAGAAGUUCAGGAAAUGCACACCUGGAUUGCUCGUUUUGGCAGAACUGCUGCUUCAUAUAAUCCAAGCAAUUCUGCAACCUUCAAUAUGAGAUUGAAGUUUAAGAAUCCAUUUUCUUGUUUUGGUCUUCAGAUAGAAAAGAGUUUAAUUUGGUAAAACAGAAGAAGUGAAUAUAUAACAAAUAGCUUUCUCAGAUAGAACUUCGAACUCACAUGGUUAUUUAUCACUUAUCAACAAUAAGCAAAAAUCUGUACAAUAUCAGCCAGAUAGAUAUCAAUGUACCUAUGGGGAAAUGUGUGUAUGACUACUUAUGACCUGCAAGAGGUUAAGGUUUCAGUGUGUGCAUGAUUUCUUUUUUUUUGUUGGGAUACCAUCCACAGCCAUUAAGUUUUCUUAAUGGAAACUGGUUUCCAGCAUAAUCAAGGGAAAAUAAAUAUCCUUCCAGAUCUAUUCAGAACUGAAGCUUUUAAUACUAACUUCUAUUUCAUCCUCCCUCUCUAUGGAUCCAGUUCGGGCAUUACACUAGUUCCAUUUUCAAGUCCUUAUCAUUCAUAAUUCAAAUGAUUUUGCUGUGUUGAACCAAACACUCAGAUCUCUAGUUUGAUUAAGCUGAUAAAUGGUCUGACAAGCUGUAAUUUGUGCUUCAGUAACUUUGUAACCAAUGAAAACAAGGAGAGUAAAGAAAGGCCUCAAGUCUUCAAAGAAACAGCGAUACCUCUCUUAAAAUCUUUUUAUCACCGAUGCCACUAGGUUGAUCAAGUUGGGCAACCUCCCACAAUGGAAUGUUGAGCAAAACCCUUAUAACAUCCUCAUCCAAGAAGGGAAAUCUAGCCUAAAAUAAAGAAUAAUAAUAAUAAAUAAGUACCUGGAAGAUUAACAAAUUUGAAAUAAAUAUUGAUUUUUUCUAUAAUUUGAAGAUUACCUCCUUUCCAUUAUCAGCAAUACAUCUAUCAUCUCUCCCUAAAUUUCUUUUCCAGAUUCUUUGCAUGUCGAGUUUCAUUUCCUCAUCUAGCCCCAACCAACUGAUCAAGGCAUAUUAUACCCAUUAGAAUCCAUUAAAAGAUAAUGCAUGCACAUUCUACGGUUCUCAAAUCAGUAUUAAUAAAUUAACAAUCAGAUAAGCUAGAAGUGUAUUGAACUACCACAUAAAAGUACAAGAUGAGCUCUCAAAUUAUUAAUCAAGAACUUUUAGCUAGGUACUAGCGUAUUGGCCUGCAUGAUAGUUCUUGGAACACAAUUAUCCCAUGUCUUGGGCUCAAUUCUAGCAAGCAGUGAAGAGCUUUUAAUAGGUAAUAUAUUUUCGAGAAAACCCUAUUUUUCUCUUUCGAAGAUAUAAGUAUCACUUUGGUCCUUCGAUUAUUUUUCUCAUCAAUUUAGUCCCUUAAUAUUGUAGUCAUCAAGUUAGUACCUGAACUAGGACUUCAAUACAAUCAUUCCUCUUAAUCCAAGAAAGACAAUUGAGUUGUGAAUAAUCAAGAAAUUAAAUUGGUGACAAAAAAAUUCUAGGUUUAAAUGACGAUGCGUGUAUCUUUUAAGGAGAACAUUAGAGGUUUAAUCAACAUUUUCUAAAACCCAGUAAGCUGAAUAACACUCUAGACCUGAGGGAAAUUGAUAGAACUGGUACCUUGGAACACAAAGAAAUAGAUGGAAAAUCCAGAAGAAACACCAGAAUCAAAGUGAUUCUGGAAUCAAAGUGAUUCUGGAAGAGAUUGCAUUUUUAAUGAGAAUUGUCUUUGUACAACUGAACUGAAACGCUUCUGAGAAAGAAGAGAAACCUUGGUCACCAAGAGACCAAAUCUGGUUACCUCUAACCAGCCCUAGAAUCUUCCUUUCCCAAAAACCGACUCUCACUGACAGCUAAGGCUCUUUAUAUCUAAAGCUAACUGUAACUAACCCUAACAAACCAGGUUAGUUAGUCAUGAUUCUGUUACAAACAAUAACCUGACCUAGUCAGAUUUUCUAACUCUCGUCCUCACAUACAUGUUCUUAAUAACUGGCUUAAGUGAAGACUUAUCAGAGAUUAUCAAAGCAGUACAGUGCACAGUAUAUGGCUCAUAUCAUGGUUUUCAUGUCUUGCGUCAUGUUUCUUUCCCGUGGUAAGGUACACUAGCAUUUAAUUUAAAACUUAUUUGGCCGCAAUUAAAGAAAAGAUAAAUUAAACUACAACCACACUAUGCAUAGAACUCAAAAAUUGUAAGAUCUAAGCGAAUAUAAACAGGGGGAAAAGUAGGUAUAUAGCUAAAACAUGAUUUACAAUCAUCACAGUAAUACCUUCCCCAUCUGUAACUAGUUCUAUGCCUCCCAUAUCCAGCACACUGUUCAUCAGCACCAGAACCAACAAGGAGAAUCCUUGCACUAGACUUGUACUUAAUCCGUGCAUGAUUGGUAUCUUUAUCAUUUGUAUUUACAGAAGACACCCAUCCAUCACCACCAGAAGCAAGCCAUAAAGCAAUUCCAAUAUUAAGAUCCUGAGAAGAUAUGUGCAUAAAAUUAGAAACAGUAAAGGUAUUUGGAAACUAAGCUACAGGAUUUCAGACUGAAAUUUCCAUUCCAUCCAUGUGGAGCAUUAAACUGAAUAUGAAGUUAAGUUAAAACGAGGGUUACUGAUGCAGAAGCUGAAUGAGUGAUAACUCUCUACAUGACAAUGUGCUGAAAUCAAUAUCCAGUAUUCAAAUUGUAUAUGAAUGUUUUCAACUUGGUUUUUGUACUGAAUUUGCAUUUUAGUUUGUCUCUGGUCUCCAUAAGAUAAUUUACUAAAUAACAGUUAAUCAAUUUUAACAGGCCAUAUAACAUGAGGCCCCCCACAUUGCAAACACAUUUUUUUAUCUUUCUUGGAGCUAAAAUAUAUGGUAGUUUUGAAUUGAAUUCAUUGUUCAAGUUAAUACAUUAUAGAAAAUUUUACUAAAAUUUUGCCAAUUUAAUAGUAUACAAAAUAUCUUAUUGUAUUCUAUUUUAUUUAUUUUCUCAAACUACUAGUAGAAGUUUUUAAAAAAUUUAACGAGCCAAGUUUAUUAUCAUUAUAUUUUUAUAUUAUAAAUAUUUUAACACCAUACAAUGAAAAUAACCAAUAAUUCCAAUUAAAUAUUCUUAAGAAUGAAGUUAGGCUAAAUUUGAAAGAAUGAGUUUAUAUUAUAAACGCAUGACAGUCUUAGGAUAGAAUAUUUCAUUAUUUCCUUUUUAUUCAUAUGUAAAUACUAAAUAUCACCAGGACAUAUUGUGUAAUUAUUAGGACAAAUCAUUAUUUCCUUAUUUAAAUAUAAUUUAUUCGUAAAAAUUUAUAACAUAAUAUAACUAUCUAUUUUUACAAUAUUAAAAAUAAAUGAUUAUUACUAUAAUUGUGGACAUAUAAUUAUUUAUAUAUCACAUUAUGUUUUCAACCAUAGUUAAAAUGAUAAAAGCUAACUGAACCUUAGAUCACUCUCGUUUAGGAUUCUCCGCGGGAUGUUCAGUGCUAAAGUAGAGAAUGUUAUUGAACACACCCUAAUUCAACACCUGAUGAAAGUAUAGACAUGUUCAGAAUCUUAAGGAACCUGCUUUACCUCUAAUUUCACCUUUCUAGUUUUCAAAACAAUUACAACAUAGAACAUACAAUACCUUACAAGCAGGGAAAUCUAAAAUUAACAAUUUAACAUUUACAAAUGAGACAGAGAAAGGACCAUGCCUGAGCAAACUGUAUAUGCCUUUCUGACAGUCUGACAUUUGUACGGGUUAGUUAUUCAACUUAACUUGAUCAGAAAUUUUCUUAUAUACGACAGAAGUAAAAGUGUAAUUUGCGGAUCCAGAGGAUUAAUUAAUACCAUGUAGGUGCUGGCAGGAUUUAUGAGGGACAUAACAUGAGUAGUUUCAAACACCAAGUCUGAUAGGUCAGCAUCAAUCUCUACAAGUCUCCACCUGUGUAAAUUUGCAUAAAAGGCUAAAAUUUAUACAGACCACAAUAAAAUGUUAAAAUUUAAAUAAAAAAUUUAUCUAUUCAACGAAAAACAAUUUUUAUUUUGCUACCAAGCCACAAGAAAAAUAUUAAAUUAAACAUGGAUAGCAUACCUUCUGGAAGGUGCAACUCUUUUUAGUUCUUUCAACCCUGCCUUGGCAGAUUUUCUAUCAGGAGCUGAUUCACCAUCAAAACUUACAUUAAGUAGAUCAAUUUCAUCUGUCAUUUCAAAAAUGGUUAGACAAUAAGCUUAGCAGAAGGUUCCUAGAAUAAAGAGUAAUGAUAUAUACACACCUCCUUAUUUAUACACUUCAUUUCCACCUAUUUUUAUUUCUAUCUCUCUCCUCUUAUCAUCUAUCACAUCUUAUACUUUCUCUUUCUUACUUUUUCUUUUCUUCCUAUCUCUCUCCUUCUCCACCUCUUUCCACCUCAAUUUAGAGGUGUGGACAAAAAACAUGUCAAUUAACAAACUCAACUAGGCCUCUACUGCAUCUAUUUCAACACCAAUCAAGAACUUUUUUAUAUAUAAAACCCUUCAUGUCCUUUAAUCUAACAGCUAAGUAAACAUGUCAUCUCGAGUUUAAUCCUUCUUGCCCAUAUUCUUAUAGAUAAAAAAUCUUAAACUUUGGGUUAGGCCUAACUCUACUCCAAAAGCUAGCUCAGGGGUGAGGAUUGCUCUACACUUUAUAAGGACGUAUUUAGUCAUAUCUCUAGUAAAUGUGGGACCUCACAAAAAAAGUUAAAUUUCAGCAUAAGGUAGGAUGAGCAUGUGCAUUGUUCAUGCUUCAAGUCCAAAAGAACUCCUGUGAGGGUAUGUGCUAGAUAUAAAAUUAUCCAUGUGCUUUAGUUUAACUACUUAAGCUUUUGAGUAAGUUGGUUCAAGACAACAAAUUAAAUUGUAUAAUAUAAUCAGCAUAUAAGCACGUAAGUUAAGCUGAUCUAGGAGCACUCACAACUGGGAUCCAGACAUUGAUCCAAUAAUGCUGCAAGUAUCAUAGAAUCCAGCCCACCAGAGAAAAGAACUGCCACGGGGACAAAUUUCUCUUGUCUGACACCAGAUAUCACUUCCUAUAAAAUCAAAUUCGAAAUAAAAAACCAGAGUUCUAUCAUGAGUGACAAAUAUAAAUAAUAUUAACAGAAAGAAAACAAAGACAAGUUAAGAAAUAAUUAUAAUACAAGUUCAUCUGUGGUAAUGGCAUCAAAGAAUAAAGCUAUUUGGCUAUAACAGAAUUACAAUUAGGAAUCCAGAUUCAAUACUUGGAGUAGAUUUCAGCAAUGAGAAUUUUCAAAAAUACCAAUAACAAGACGUUGGUGGAGACAUGGAGUAGUUCCAAUGUGCAUCAGGGAAACACCUGAGAGUAAUGAUAAUUUGUGGAAGAUUUGCAAUGUCAGGGUGACCAUCCUUGAAUAAGCAUCAUCUCUACUACUAAUGAAGAAAAGAAUUCAAUAUGUUUUUUAUGCCAUUCUCACUUAUCAGUUUAGUUUUGGUUCCUUAUUGUUAUAAAGUUGACACUUUUAGUCCCUGUCAUCAAAUGAAUUCGAUUUAGCAAUGAUGUCGCAAACAGAAUUCUACAUCAUCAUUGCCAUGCCGUAGUAAAUUGCAGAUGUGUCACAAUAUUAUUAUUUACGAUUUAUAAUACGUUUUUUUAUUCAAUUUUAAUGAAAAUAGCCCACAUGGAGAGUUGACCAGAUUGUAGAGUCUAAUACUUAGGGAUGGAGAAAAACCCAGUAAAACUAUAGGCCAAGUUAUUAAGAAGGAUUUAGAGGUAAACAAUCUAUCUGGUAACUCACAUAACAGAGUAGUGUGGUGUGGAAUGAUUCAUGUAAUCGGCCCACCUAGUGGGAAAAGGCUUUAGAGGAUGAAGAUGAUGGUGAUGACUGAUGACCCACAUGAGAGUCACAUGUCUCAUACCCCAAAAUAAUAUUUGAGGGUUUGAUUUGCACAGAACACUGCAAGGGCGAGAGAAGGCAAAGGUGAGGAAGAAGGGUAGCGAAAGAGAAUUGGGUGAGGAAGAGGGCAGAGGCAAAGGUGAAGAUCAUAAUUUUGGGAAGUGGAAUGAGAGAACUGCAGGAGUCUGCAAAGAAAUGAAGGUAGAAAGGAGGAGAAAGCAUCUUAUCAACAACAUACAAACUAAAAUAAUUCAAGAACACAUAAUGCUGUGUUAGACAAACAUUAAAGAAAGGUGCACAUCUCAGCAGCAACAUACAAAUAUAAAACUUUUUCUCCAGCUUUAAUUAAGUUGCAUACCUGAUAAAAAGUAUAUAAUGAAGUACGCCGUGAUACAGAUUCCUUUAAAACAUUUAGCAACGUAUGAACUUGCAUUGGAAUUGCAGGUUGUGCCCCACCUGCUUAAACAAGACAAAGAUCUGUCAUGACCAUCUAAGACUUAAAAGAUACAAUAGAAUAGCCAAAUAAUUCUAAAGGAACUAGAAUGUAUGGGAAUAGCUAUUUAAGUACUUGUCAUGAGCCAAUUAUCACAAAAGCAUAAGCUGAUGGGUAAAAAGGUUCAUGAAUGAUUUUAUAUUAUAUUGCUAACAGGCCCCCUCACGCAAGAGCUCAUUGGGCUUGAAGCGUGGACAAUGAUGCACAGGCUCACCUGUCUUGUGCUGAAAUUCAACUUUUUUUAUUAGAAUAAUUAGAGGCAACAAGGAUCGGGCUCUAGAGCACUUGGUUUUAGUGGCUGUAAUACUAUGUCAUGAAUCAAUUAUCCCAAAAUCUUAAGCUGUUGGAUCAAAGGAGAAAUGAAUGAUUUCAUAUUAUAUCUAGAAGUACUAAAUAAAUAACUAAAUUAAGCACUAUGAAGCUGUUAUAUGGUACUCACCAGCACAUGGAACUGCCUCUAAAGAAGCUGAAUCAUCUUGCCUCCUAGAUGUCUCCAGAUCUUCAGAGCGUGGUUCAACGGAAAUUCUCUCCCACUUGAUAAGUUCAUUUAACAUUGAGUUUGUAUACUCAUGCAUCUUGACGUCACCAACCAGAUAUCCAUUUAAAUUUGAAGUACCCACAUGCAUACUGUAUAUUCCACACGGUAGUUCUUCCCAGUAACUAAGAGAUCCUAUUUCAUUAUGAGCUUCAUACUCUGCAGCGAAUUAAUAUUAAUAACUCCAAAUAUUGCAAAGUUUAUUUUACAAAUUCAAGAAUAAAUUGCAGUAGCGGAUGGAACAGUGACUUUUAAUAGUAUUGUGGGAACUUCGACAAGCUAAAUUGGAGGUUUUUUGUGGAAUACAGAGGGUCAGCCAGAAGAGGAAAGAUCAAGCUCAUUCAUUACAGUGGUUUUUAAAGAAUUGGAGGGACUGCAACCACACAGAAAUGUAGCCCCUUUAAUUAAUCCACAGCCAGCAGCUGGACCAGUGAGUGUUCGUCCCUACCCCCAUCAUCACGAAAUUGAGAUAGAAAAACAGUGCAGUCAAGGCUUCAACAAGGUAUCAUCACAAAAUAAAAUUUCUAUUUCCUUCAAUCCUUAUCAGGUUCUAUUCAUGCCAUUCUAGUUCACAGAAACUGAACCGUAAGAGCAAGUUAAAAGGCUGUUAUUCAAUUCCAUGUAUUACAUACCAGAAGCCUGCUGAGCUUGAGAAACAGGUGAUACAGAAGAAAGCAGAAAGGUUGAGUCAUCUUCUGUUGGCCAGUGAACAAGGAGACUCCGCCUACCAAAUGCAUCUCGGCCAAACCAAAGGGUACUUGAACUAUCCUACAAAAGAAGAAGAAAGUACCACCCAUUGACACGAUAUGGACAGAAAAGACACCGUAAUGAAUUCAGACACACAGAAACUUACCACUCAGUGUUACCUGCCAAUAGAUGAUAGCCCACGGUCCUUUAAUUGUAGAAAGAACAUCUGGAAUCGAACUUUUGCCACAUGUAACACAGUGACCAGUCAAACAAGAACCACAGGAGCAACACUUCUCGAGAGUCUGAAUGAGAAACUCAGCGUCAUUGCAAUCACUAGCAAGGUGAAAGCCUCCAAAAAUUUCACCUGAAAGAGCACAACACAAAACCUAAAACAACUUGUUGGGAGGAAAAAAAAUACUGCAAAUCAUAUAGACAAAUAGCUCACAUGGUUGAGCUAAGGGUAAUUGUAGGUGUAGGGCCAGGGUUCAAACCCUGAGGAGGAAUAACUUGUACUAAUUUACUAACAACUAACAUUUGUCUAUCCAAAAAAAAUAUAUAGACAAAUAGAUAGACACGAAAACAUUAACCUAUUCCUAAUGCACACAAUUGUUGAGAAUGUACACUAGCUUUAACAUAACAAGAACAACAAGCAUUCUACAGCAGUAUAUUCAAUCCAAAAUCUAAAAUCGGAGGCGGCAUGAACACAGAACAAUACCAUUGUACACCAGAACAUUUCGAGACACGUCGAACAAGGGCUGGACAAGCGGAAUAGUUCCCCUGAGCUGCAGAAUGGCACCAAUGAAAUGAAGUUCCGCGCGAUUGUUAUCUUCGCGUUCGGAACACAAUGUAUCAUCAUCAUCUUCUUCUAUGAAGGAGGAGAGUUUUUCCCCUGAGGAUUGCAGAAGAACCUUCUUGGUACGCAAGCUAUCGGGGCCUCUUCUCCUGAGUGCUGCUUUCAGGUCUUCUAAAGAGAACACCAACUGUAGCAAAAGAUAAAAAGGUUCAUGAAGUAGCUAGGAGUGGAGUUGUGUUGUGUUGUGUUGUGUUGUGUUGUGUGGUUAGAGUUAGUUAUGGGCAUUUUUGAAGUGUUGCGCGAGCUUACUUUCUCAGUUUGACGAGUUGGGCAUGCUGAGUUGAGUUGCAAAGAUGAGAUGUUGAUUUGAAUGCCUGAGACAAUCAACGCAAUUCCACACAUCUUCCUCUCCGAUUCAACAGUCGUCGUGGGAGCAGGCGAGUAGCAAUGGGGUUUGCAUAGGGUUUUGAUUUCGUACACUUGUGUCUGUUUUGCUUAAUUGCUUUAAUAUAAUUUAUAAUUUAAAAUUAAAAACUUUUAUACUUCGAACCAAGUUUGGAGAUAGCAAAUGACUCACGUGGAGAUCUUAAUUAUUAAUAAUAAGAACUAGUUCUUGUAUUAACAAUUUUGUUUUAUGAGUUCUUAGCAUAAAAUAACAUUUUAUGUCUAUAUUAUUACUUUAUGAGUUUUAUUUUAUUAAAAAGUAUAAAUAAUGUGGUAUUGUUAGACCAUAUGAAUAGUGCUAAGAAAUAAGAACUAAGAACUUGUGGUUGGAGCGAAAUCGACAAAAGUUGUUUGAGAGUUGCUUAGCCACAUAUGGCAGUACGGGCCCACAUGAAUAAUGUUUAAGAACUCACAUAUAAGAACUAGCAUUAGAGAUGCUCUCAAAGAGUUGAGCCUUCACUCUUGGGAAGUGAGGUACUCAACGUCCACACUCUCCUUCACAAAAUUACACGUCAUCUUUUAUCUAAUUUCCUCAUUCUUUCUCUUUGGUUCUUUGAGCGUUGUCACCACGCGUUCACAUUUCUUGGCAAACCCCUGUCAACACACAUUUCAUGUUGUGUUCGCUCACUUGUAAUUCGGCUCCCAAAAUUUCACUAUAAUCUGCUCAAUCGACCUUUGAUCCUCUUGCAAAAGAAAAGCGAAUAGAGGUCAAAGCCCAAAACAUUAGAGUUGACAAACAAUAAAAGGUCAGGGAAACAUCUUCCCCCAUAAACAAAAUGGUCAUACGAAAAAGCAUUACGAGCUAGAAAAUCAGAUGCGCAAUUCUCGUUUCUACGCACAAAAGAAAACUCAACGCAAUCAAAAGAAAAAACUAAAGAACUAUUGUAAUAUCAAGUGUGAGUAAGUCCUACAUAGGAAAAAAAAAUGGAGUGUUGAGCAGUUUAUGAGUGAGAUACUCAUACACCUGAUACCUUAAGGUUUUUGGGUGAAAGAUGUUGUGUCCAACCCAUUUGUGGUAUGCUCAUCAUUAGCACAAUGUGUAUACCCCCCUAGUUUUGCGUAUCACCUUUGGCCCAACAAUGAUAUCGGAGCUAAUGGUUGAUUUGACCAUGGUGGCGGCUCCUUGUGUUGAAAGCCUUCCUAAAAAUGUGAUACUCAGGCGGUGUGUCCUGUUGUAAAGUCCCAACCCAACGGUUGUGCAAAUAUUUAGAGGUUUACGCUUGAGAUGGACUCAUACUUGUUGUGAUGUCAAGUGUGAGUAAGUCCCACAAUAGAAAAAGAGUGUAUUGUUGAGAGCUUUGUAAAUGAGGUGACUCAUACACUUAAUGUUGUAAGGUUUUAGGUGAAAGAUGUGGUGUCAAACUCGCUUGUGGUUUAAUUAUUAAGCCCAAUAAGGAGAUCCCCCGCAGUUUAAAGCAUCUCCUUUGCCACAACAAGAACUGCACAAUUGAAGCCAAAUAAGAGCAACCACGACUUGCUCUCUUUCACACCAGUCUCAAAACACACCAAGAAAAAAUUGGAAUUGUAAGAGACCAUUCUAUAUCAUAAAUAUAUUCAACUCAACUUAUUUAAUGAGUUAUUGGAUAAAGUUAUAACCAAAUGCUUGAAUUGUAAUCUUUGAUUCUCUUUUGGAAUAAGCAGGGGCGGAUCCAGCGCCCGGCGUGCCUGGGCACUUGCCCAGACUCCUUGGCCAAUUUUUUUUUUAUUUGGGCCGUAUGGCCUUUUCAGGAAAAAAAAAGAGCAAGGGCAAAAAAAAAAAACAAAGCCAAACUGCCCUUCCAUAUUUGUCAGCUCAUUGCACAGCGAAUCUUGGCCACAAUGGAUCACUACCGAAGCACUGGAUCUGGAUUCAACCGUAAGUACUAUCUCAAGCCUUGGCACGGGAUAAGCUUAUAUCAGAACCAACUCACCAUCAACCCUCAACCAGAUCGGGAGGAAGAAGAGAGCUCCAAGACACCAUUCAAAUAGGCACAAUCCUUUGCCCUUUACCAUAGGAGCCCUCUACGGGCAUAGGCUAAAGAAAUAGGGGAAGAAGGACACAUUUUAGGGAAAGUAGCCCUCGGGAAAUAGUUUUCUAUUAGAUUUUCUCUACUUUCCUUAGAUUUUAUCUACCUCUAGGGGGCGUUUGUUUCAAGGUUUGAGAUCACAUUCAGGAAUAUGAUUACCGGGUAUGUUUUUUUUAGAAAGCAAAAUAUAUGUAUUCAUAGAUAGAUGAGGAAAUUGACAAGAUUAACAAUCCUCCUCAAAGGGAACAAGAGCUCGCAAAGCCAGAAAGGAGCAAAGAAAGGAAAAACAAAGGAACCCCAAGAACCGGAGAAGAAAAAGCCCCCAAUGCCUAGGAGAAAAACCGCAAAAGCACCCAAAAGCCCACCCGACAAAAAACCAAAAACCCAAACAAUCCGCACUAACCACUAGCAUAACACCCCAAAAAAACCCGCCAGGACUGAGAAAAAACCAGCCAAAAUUCCAAUCCUGCAAGGGAGAAAAACCAAAAGGGGGCGCAACACACCCUCACCAGAAAGCCAAAAACAAGACCCCAUAAGCACCCAUACCAACCCAGCAAACCAGCGCCAACACUAGGGAUCUCCGUAGAGACGAGGAUGAGUAGCAAUGAGGUGGUCAACGAAGCUCUGAAUGGCUUCCUCCUCAGGACCGAUAGGGACGACUCCAACUUGUUUAGCAAUUAGAAAGUCCCUACGAGCUAUUGUCAGAGCACGGGCAGAGCCACAAGCUUCCGGGAGAAUCAGAGAAGACUCCUCUACCACCGGUUGCACGACGACCUCAUCAACCAAAACCCCUUUGACCUUCUGAUUUCCUGCUGCCACGCCUUUCCUUGGUCGACCCCUCCUCCGCCGCUCCGACACAGAACCCACCUCACAACCCGCUGGAACCACACCUGCACCAGCACAAACCGGAGAAGGGAGAGAGCAAAAAUCGUCCAAGAUUACUUCGCCAGCAGAGACAAGAUCACCUAUUCCCAAUUCAGGAAAAAGGGCCUCGCAAGAAACACGCUCCUCCUCACCAGAGGCUGAACCUCCCAAGAACCCUGAGACAAUUGUCUCCGGGAAAAGAAGCAUCGCCGGCCAGCCAGAGCAAGGAGAGUCCCUAGAGAGCUCUGAGAUCAUCCUGAGUUCGUCAACUGAAGGAGCAACAGCACGGCCAACCUUCACCGGCAAUGGCAUAGGAAAGACCUCGGCAGCAAAUGACCUGGCACUCCCCGAUUUUGGAAAUUUUGCCAACGCCACCGAAAGGAUUGAACCCCCCACUAGAACUCCGUUGAGCAAAUUUAUUGCUGAAGAAGCUAGUUCUACCGAUGAAUACCUCACGAAGCCGAAACGGCAGGCCCUCCCAAGCCUCCUCUGCUUCUGAACAAAGACGUUUACCAAGCUUCCGAUGUGACCAAAGAGAGACCGAAUCUGGAAGUAGUCCACGAAAUCAGAGAUCCCAUCGACGAACAGGGUAGUCGUCGAACAAGAGAACCCCUCUUUUCCUCUUUCUCGAUCUGCAACGUCGAACUUACCAAACACUGGCAGAGGCUGAAAUCGUGCGCCGCCGCAAGCCAGGGUUGGGAAGAGGAACCCUAGCCGCAGGAGAGACAAAGGAAAUGUUAUUCCUGGGUAAAUUUUAUAAAUGUGUUUGGUAAGUAUUUUGUAUUCCCGGGAACAUUUUUAAAUUUUCUUAAUUUAAAAAUUAAAAAAACUUAAAAAUAAAGGUAAAAAUGAUAAAUUGUGGGAGAAGUGGGAAGUUACAUUCAUCUUUCCCAUGGGAAUGUAAGAUUCCCAACCUUUUUCAUGGGAAUCAAUAUGAAGGAAAUCAUGAGAAUUGUGGAAGUUAUUUUAUUCCCGGGAAUGAUUGAUACCCAGGAAUCAUAGUUUCCAAUCUUGUAACAAACGCAAGAAUGUUCAUUCCCAACCUUCAUAUUCCCGGGAAUCUCUUUCCAAAUCUUGAAACAAACGCCUCCUUAGCUGUCUAGAUUCUGUGUUUUACUCUCCUGUCAAUGUACCAACCAGCUGGCAAGGUUUUAAUUGUUGUUUACUUGCUACCACUCACAUGGUUGUACCAAGCUCUCAGCCUUUGGGUUAGGCCCAGUUUAAUGGAAUAUAAUCCAUGCUUUUCAGACCAAAAAAUGUAUGAACAAUAUAUACUUUUUGCGAGUAAAUGUAUACACAUAAAAAAAUGUCAAAAAUGUAUUUGACUAAAUUUAUGUUGGUACAUAUAUACUUUUUUUUUCCUUUCUAUAUGGGUGAGUUUUUUUUUUGUAAAUCAGAUUUUUCGGUUUGGUUGAGGGUGAGUUUAGAGCUAUGAGUUGGUCUAAUGUCCUUGUUGAGGCUGGUUAACUAUAAGAAAAAUGACGCUUCACACUCAUUUCACUCACAAUUAUAAGAAAGAUAGGAGUACGAAAUGAGAGAUAUGAUAAAUAGUGUGAUGAAAAUAAAAGACAAAUAUAAAAAGAAAGAUUAAAGUAUAUAGAAUGAGAUGGAAUCAACUAUCUUUAUGAUCUAGUAAACAACUAGCAAAGUAUAAAAGUAAUAUUGAUCAGCCGGGUCAAUCAAUCAAUUAGAAUUUUAGGUUGAGAGAGGUGGAAAGUUUUAUGAGAAGGAAUGUUUAAAUUCUUUUGUAUGGGAUAUAAAUAUUAUAAGUAUAACGAUAUAAGGGAAUUGACAGCAAGCCAUACUCUAACACAUUCUCUUUAUGUUUAUGGCUCCCCCGAUAUACACGCCCUAACAUCACAAUGUUCGCAACCGCAACACCUGUAACCGCGACCGCAAUUUAAAACCCUCGGUCAGACGUGGACAAUUAGACUUAAAUUUGCUCAUGCUCCACUGAAAUCCUGGCUCCGCCUCUGCUCAAGAGUAAGAAGUAAAAAAGAGAACUUCAAAGUCUCAAGAAUAACUUAAGUAAUAAAAUCCCCAAGUUUAGGACACAAUGCGCUCCACUUGUGAUUUAAAUCCUUUAAAGGAAUGACAUCAAGCGCCUAUUUCAUUCAAUGCCUCUUGUUGAUUUAGAACUAUAUUAGAUCAUGGAAAACACAUAUUCAAACACAACACAAGCAGUAAAUUUAAGUGAACACUCAAAUAAAGAGUAAAAAAUCUAAAUCAACAUUAAACAAGAGUCAUUAAAAUAGUAAAAAAAUAUGCCUCAUGUCGAAAUAUAAUCAAAGAUCAAACUAUAAGACUGACUAAGAGUGCAACAACCCAUCAUCAUGGGUAAAUACUUAGAAAAAGAUGAAAACAAUAAAAACAAAAUAGCAACCACAAUUGCCAAAAACUAGAAAUUAGAAUGAUGCAAGUGAAAAAAGGUUUUGACCUAAUUUUUCCUAUUUCUAUUCAUAGUAAAUGACUAAUUCCUAUGUUGGGCUUUGUGCCUUUCUAAUCAUUAACAUACGUUUUUGGGAUCAUUAGAAGUAAAUUGCCUUUGACUGCAUUCAAUAUGAACAUAAAAUGAGUAAGUUAUCAUACAUACGAUAUGGUAGCAUUCAUUAAUGACACUAGACUUGCACCCCACAUUUGACCUCAUCCAAUCCGGAGGUCUACAACUCGAGAUCUUACCUCCAGAAGAAGCACUACUCAAGACCAGAUGAUAUCAGCAAACCAACGUUAGGACCAUCUUCCACUCAACGUUUGGUCACGCUAGAGGUCGAAACAGACCCCAAGUUAAAAAGAAUGUAGUUUUUUCUCUUAGCUUUCCCACCAUAUAUAAAUGACUUUCACAAUUUGAAAAAGUGUAGCUCCAAAUAUAGACCCUCCAAACACUGUAUAAGUCAGUUGUCUGAACUUCAGACGACGUCUGUCAUCAGACCAUGCAUUUAAACUCAGCAAGCACCAAGUCAUCAACAUCUCGAGCGACAAACCCCAUACCUACGAAACCUGUCGAAGCAAGGGAUGCAUGAAAAUCAAAAUUAACCUUAACAAAAUCUUGGAUUGAGCCGAUUUCAAUGGUAAAAUUCCUUCUAUUAUUGCGCCAAGGAAAUGGUCUGAAUCACAUCACAUAAAAUCAGAUUCUCAUAUCAUAUAAAAUGUACGUUUUUAUUAUACCUUAAAUUAAAAAAACUCGUGCGACCUGAUUUGAUUAACAAAGAUUUCUUCAAGCUGGUCCCACUCCCACCUGUUGUCAAAACAAGACACAGAUAAAGAACACAAAGUAAGCCGAUUGAGUUCUGCAAGCAAACUCGAAAACGCUGGGCCUGGUCUCAACUCAACCUAAAAAACCAAACCAAACCGAAAAACCCUUUUUCCCACAACCAAAUAUAAAUAUUGAAAUCUUUUCAUUUUCUCAGGUCUCUCUCUCAAGUGUACUCAACCGCCUCACUCUUCUCUCUCUCAGCCUCAGCCACCGCCACCUCCUUCCUCUUCCUCUUCCUCUUCGACUUUGAUCACUCCACCGGAGGUGAGGUACCACCAUUUCUCUCUCGUGAUUUCGAUUUUCAUUUGAUCCGUGUUUUCUCUCUCGCCGAUUCAUCAUUUUUGUUCUCUGUCUUAUUAUAAUUAUUAUUAAACUGUUUUUCUGCAUGUCAUGGUUGAUUAGGGUUUGCUUGUUAGGAUUUAGGGUUUUGAAAUGAUUUUUUUUUAGCUUUGUCUAGUUUUAGGUUUAUUCUAAUUAUUAUUCUGGUUUCAUAUUUGAAUCGUUUUGCAAUGCAUGGCAGGGUUAUGUAUAAUGUUUAUACGUUAUUUGUUUAAAUUAAAGGAAAUUAUUUUGUUAGUUGAUUGAAUUUAUGUUGUGAAUUUAUUGUGUUUGAUUUGCGUUUUUUGUGAAUUAAUUAUUUGAUUUUUUGUGGUGCCACAGAGAUGGCUGCGACUGAUGGAGCUCCCACCCCUCAGAUGGUUGGCAAUGCUUUUGUGGAGCAGUACUACUCAAUUCUCCAUCAUGAUCCGGAGCAGGUUCACAGGUUUUACCAUGAGACGAGUAUCCUCAGUCGACCUGAAGAAGAUGGUACUAUGACCACGGUCACUACUACUGUCGUAAGUACCCGCCAUACACUUAAAUGAAUUAUCCUAUAUAUAUACCGAGCUGUAUAAUUGCAGGUGUUGCUCAUGUUAAACUGUAUUUAUCCUAUGAUUUUUCAUGUCUUGAUCUGUUAUUGCAAAACUUCCAAAUUGAUGUUUUUUAAUAUUAAAAAAUAUUAGUUAUUUAACGGACUCGAAUUAAAUUUUACCGGGAGCACCUAAGUGUGGUUUAUGUGCUUUACUUGAGUGGGGGAGGGGACAGGGUUUUUGACCAAUAAAGAAUAAAAAACUAUUUAUCAGAAAAAUAUUUUUUUUUACUAAUGUAGGCAAUUUAUGCCACGUGGGUAGUUGAUGUUGAAAGCCGAAAGUGGCGGACUGGCGGUUAGAAAACGCCAACUUGUUCAGCAGUUUUGGCGAUCCCUGCGCCUCAACUAAAAGCUGGCAGACAAAUACAUUCUGGAGCUAAAUUUAUCACUCUACCCUAUAUUGAUCAUUUUGAACAAAAAGAAUCAAGCCUACCUCUUCUCUCCCUAUAUAGAUCUUUCAGGCGAUUGCGCCUGCGACAACAAUUUACCUUGUUGCGGCAAUAGGGAAAAUACAGCAAUUUUUUUAUCAAUUAGGAACCAGCCUCACAUGAUUGUCACAUGUGCUUUUGUCCCUUUAAAACUGCCUCCAUAAAAAAUCGGGGAGCAACCGAUACAGUACGUAAUUACGUUGAAACCCUGUAAACACAUAAUCUCUCUUCUUCCUCCAUUGACCUCGAUUCCUUUUUUCUCUAUCAUCUCUUGCGACUUAGAGUAGGUUUUUGGCGAGCUUCCUGGGCCACCAACAAUAGUUACAUCAUGCUCUGUUUUUUUAAUAAAUUCUUCCUUUACCUUCUGUUUUUUGCUAUUUUGUUUUCCAUCUUUCAUUGUUAUUUGUUUUCUUGCUCUUUUAAUAACUUGUUUUUUUUAUCUUGUGACAAGCUUAAAUGAAUUUCUUACUUAUUUCAACCUCUAUGUGACUUCCUCUUUUUGCCCGUGAUGCUAUCCGCUAUAUGACAAGCAGAUUUUCCUUGUUCUACGAUUAACAAACUGGUCUGGAGAGGAUGACCUUCAUUUAAACCUUCCCUCUUUUAAUUGUUGUAUAUUUGGCCUUUUUGCACACCUUGUCCCACAUCAUUAAGAAAUCACUUUCAUCAUGCUUUGAAUAUUUUUAGUAGAUGUCUUUAUAUUAAUUGUGUGUGCAUCUUUUGUUUUUAUCAACAUUUUUUGUACUCCUUACUUAAAGUAUUAGAGAUAAUCUUGUUUGCCCUGUACAGAUUUCAUGAUAAAUGUAGUACUAGCAAUCCCCCUUUUACUGCUCCAGCUCAUGUGUAACUCAGUUCAUUUGAACUCUCAUCUAAGUAUUGUGUUUUUCAUAAUUUGAGUUUGAUAUGGUGUAUUGCAAUAAAUGAUUUUACAUCUGCUGACUUCAAUGAUUUUUGUUUUGGUACAGGAAAUAAAUAAAAAGAUACUCUCUCAGGAUUACAAGAGCUUUAGGGUGGAGAUUCUGAGUGCUGAUUCUCAGCCUUCAUAUAAGGAAGGUGUAAUAGUUGCAGUGACUGGCUGCUUAACUGGAACUGACAAUAUGAAGCGGAAGUUUGCUCAGUCAUUUUUCCUAGCUCCACAGGACAAGGGCUACUUUGUUUUGAAUGAUGUUUUUAGAUAUGUUGAUGAGUACAAGUCUGUUGAUAUUGAGUCUGUGCCAUCACGUGAUGCUGAUGAAAUUACUCUAUCUGAUGCUUUUGCCCCCGAGCCUGGUAAAUAUUCUAUGUAGUUAGUAGCUUGAGAGGGGUUUACAUUUUUUGAAAAGAAAUUUUCUGAACUGUUCGAUUUAAUGGAUACAGAUAUACAAUUAUAUUUACUGGAUAAUUGAUAAGGAUGCUAGAAUAUAUAUAUAUAUAUAUAUAUAUAUAUAUAUAUAUACACACAUACAUACAUACACACAUGAAUCUAUCGACAAAUGAAUUUGAAACUAACUUCUGAUGCUAUUUCGUUCAAAAUAUAUGGUCUGUCAUCCUGUGCCUCCCAACAUUUUAUAUAAUUGUUAAAUGUUUUGGUUUUUAUGAUUUUGUUUAUGGUUGUGAAUAUAGAGCCCAAUCAUGUUCCUGAAGACAUUCCUCCUAGUCAAACUGCUAUUGCUGAAACUGAUGCUAGCAUCAGGAAAGAAGUGUCUCAACCACUGGAGAAUGGAAAAUUAUCAGUUACUGAAAAGGUGAUUCCUGUUAAUCAUGUUGAAGAGUCAAAUCAUCAGGAACAUCACUCAAGCUCUGAGAAAGCUGAUUCUAAUACACAGGAGGAUGCUCCUAAGAAGUCUUUUGCAUCCAUUGUAAGUUUUAUUUUUUUGUUUAUUAUUUCUUCAUUUUGUUUUGUAGUGUCUGACAAUAACUUUUCUGUAAUGAUUUCUUCCAGGUCAAUGCAUUGAAUGAAAAUGCUGCUCCCUUCCAUGUGAGGACUUCCCCUAUGAAACCUGUAGAACAGCCUCGUGUCUCUAGCAAGCCUGCAUCUGAAGCUCAAGCUCCUAUCGCUGAUGUCCUACUGGAAAAGAAUAAUGAGAAUGCAGGUUAAUUUACCAUUUUAGUGACUAGUAUGGUCAAUUUUAUACAAUUCAGUUAAAAGUUGCCUCAUUUGUUCAGGAUGUUAUCUCAUAACUAAUAACCUUCACAGGUAAGGCUCAUGCCAUAUUUGUUGCGAAUUUACCUAUGAAUGCUACCGUAGAGCAACUGGAACGGGCUUUUGUGGAAUUUGGGCCCAUUAAAACCAAUGGUAUUCAAGUUAGAAGUAAUAAGGUUAGUCUGUCAUAAUCAUUUCUACUAUCAAGUUUAGUAAAUGCAGUUUAAAGUUAAACAACUACAGGAUAUAAUUUUUUCUUUUUUCUUUUUCAGCAACAAGGAUCUUGUUUUGGUUUUGUGGAAUUUGAAUCUGCUGCGUCAAUGCAAAGUGCACUUGAGGUAGAGUUUGGAAUUUUUAUUGGUAGUUAAAAAUCUAUUGUCAAGGUCCUUUGUUGAAUGUUGAUUGGGUUUCAGAAAUCUUUAUCGUUGAAUGUUUUAUUGUCAAUGCAAAUUGCAGGAUAUUUUUUUAUCUAUCGUGAGGAGUGAUGUUUCCCUUUCUUUUGAAUUUUCAAUGCAUAAUAACUAUAUUUUCCAAUCAGCGCUGCUAUAUGUUCUGAAAAGCAGGCUCUUUGAAACCCAUGAUCAGAAUUUUGUUCACUGCGUACAGCACACACUUUUUGAAACAAAACUAAACUAGUUGCCUGUUUUUACAGAUCUGAAAACCAAUCAAAUUAAAUUUUUCCUACUCGUACCAUUUAGUAUUUCACUUUUCCAAUGCAUUAGAAGCGCAUGGUUCCAAUUGCAAGCUAUUCCAUAUGACAAGCAUGUGUACUUUUUCAGGCCGCUGUUAUAUUGGACAACCGCAGACUAUCCAUUGAAGAAAGGCGAGGCAAGUGUGACAUUAUUUUUGUUAAAUUUGAACAUCCUCAUUUUUCAGUUUUCAUGUUUUGUUUAUUAUUUCCCAUGAGUUCUGUCUUCGACUAAUGUUUGCUCUAAAAAGUGGUGUAUAAUCGUGAUUUGCUUCCUUUCUAGAUUCUCUAAAACCAAUGCAAAUAUUAAUUUAAGUUAAAACUGCGAGGGUAUAGAUUCAUGUACCUGGUGACAUUGGGAACAUUUAGAACAUUGUCGCUAAAUAUUUUGUAUUAUUUGUUGCAGCUAAUAAUGACAGGGCCAGAUAUCCAUCAGGACGCGGUGGAUACCGAAAUGACAGAAAUGAUAGCUUCAGGGGCCGUGGCAACUUCGGUGGUGGCAACUUUGGUGGUGGCCGUGGUGGUGGCUACAACGGCAGGAAUGAUUUUGAGAGGCGAAAUGAGUUCUCUGGCCGACCACGAGGUGGCAAUAAUAUGGGACGUAACAAUGGAGAAACUGCGCCAAGGAGUUAUCAGAAUGGUCAGACUGGUCAGAAUGGAGGAAGAGUCGCUCGCCAACCGGUGAAAGCUCAGUAAAGCGCUUUUAGUUGGUAAUUUAGUUACAACGGAAUUUUCUUAUAGAUAGCGGCAUCUAAGGGAUUUUGGUUUUCAUUUGGAUUAGAGUCUUUUUCUUUUAAUAGCUGUCAUGAUUCUUUCGGGCAGUUGUUUUUGGUUAAAUUAAGUGAUUCCAUAUUUAGUUCUCUCCCGAUUUUUGUUACAUUUUGUAUCUAAGUUUUGGUAUGAUUGUUUUGUGGAAUUGGCUACAUUUAUAUACCAUUUUUUAAGAAACAAAAUCAAUGUUUCGUGCUAACAUUUGUUUUAUUGGUUGAAGUUCAUGCUGAUCCUAUCAAAUAGGUGGGAAUUCAUAUAUUGAAAUCCAUGUGGAUUUUAAUUAUUAGGAGGAUUUCAAUUAAUAGGAGUGCGUUAUAUAGAGUUAACAGUUGUUAUUUGCACCGGUGUUGGUUGUUGUGGUUAAAAGAGUUUGCAUGCAUCCAAUGGUUUCAAAGAAACUAGUUUUCAUUAUAUCCGGAUUGAAUAAGAUUGCCUUAAUAGAAGAUACUUGUGUUUGAAUUUUUGUGAGGAAAAUACAAGUCUUCUUAUAUUUGUAAGGUUAAAAGAAUAGGAUUCAUUGGUUUAAUUAAUUACUAGUGGUAAAUGUCAGUUAGUAUUUCAAUCUUCAAUUUUCAAUCUUCAAUCUCCCGUAGAGUUCUUAAUCCCGUAGAGUUCUUGUUUGUUUAGCGUUAGUAUUUCAAUCUUCAAUUUUUGGUUUAAAACAAAGAUCGUACCACUAAGCUAAGGGCACAAUUCAUAGUAAAGCCAAUUCGUCUUGUUUCUUGUUUUUUUUUUUUUUUGGUCAAUAUCUUGUUUCUUGUUGUGCUAAUGUGUAUGUGCUCUUUUCUUGUUCGUGUAUGGGAUUUGGCCCAUGUCUUUUAUGUCGGAUUAUCGCCACCCAAAAAAAGAAACAUGGGCAAGAUGAAUUUCAACGAGUUGAUUCUGAAUUAAUUUUAGAAUUGAGUUUUAGGAUGUUCUAAAAAUAAGUUUUCAGAAUAGAGUUUAUGGAAAGUCGUUUUUUUUCCUACAAUACUUAAAAAGAAAAAAGGGAACGGGGAAGCCCAGAGACCAAGUACCUCUCAAUAUUAGAAGUAAAUUGGAUAGCAUCAAUAGUAGCCAAAGUAGUCCUCUUGGUCGCACGAAGGCCAUUACAACCGAAAAUCUUAUAUUUCGACUCAUUAACUUUCAUCCUCGAAGCCCAACAAAAGUUAUCAAGCAUCUCCUUCAAACGCCUCACCUGACUGCUCAUAGCUUUCACAAACAGAAGAA